Aegilops tauschii subsp. strangulata is the source of this 1869-nucleotide non-coding RNA. NCBI's taxonomy places the organism in Eukaryota, Viridiplantae, Streptophyta, Magnoliopsida, Poales, Poaceae. The record is from RefSeq and is a predicted model, not a curated record.
CGGAGAAGAGCCACCCGCCACCGAUAGAGCAAAGACCUGCGACCCAGCUAGCAAGCUCGUUGCUCAGUAGUAGUAGUAGUAGUUUUCAUCCUGCAAUAAGAGCCACCAUAUCCAGAGCAUUGUAAGGGUCAAGAAGGUAAUUAGAAGAAAUGAAGAAAGGAUUAUUCGCCAACAAGGAUGAAUAUCUCUACUUUGGAGAAGAAAAUAGGCUGAAAAUGUUUCAGCCAAAUACAUUCAAUUUCAAGCCAAAAACCCAUAUCAUGCUUGAUGAAGCUCAAAGAUGCAUAUUGGAUAAUUUCUGGUUCCAAUAUACUCUCAAGAGAGAGGAAAAAGGAUAUUUUUUUUUAUCAAUUCUCAAUAAUUUGGCAGACUAUUUUAAUGAAUUAAACGAAAAUUUGCCAAAGCCAGAAAAGAUUGAAAUACCAAAAGGAGAAACACUAUAUCUUAUAUUUGAUGGAAAUAAACCUGGUAUAUAUUUGGAAUGGGAAAAUAUAAUGAUUGAAAAAUUAUAAGCAAAAAGAAAAGGACAAGAUUUAACAUUCAAAAGAUAUUAUAAUAUAGAUGAUGCCUUACUUUGGGCAAGAAAGGUAUUAGGACCAGCUUAUUAUAUUGACCCAAAGGCUAAAGACUAUAUCCAAAUGAAAAGAGGCAUACCUGCUUCACGAACUCCCACAAAGGGGGAGGCAUGAAGCUCAAAAAUAUAAAGAAGGAAGAGUCUCCAAAAUAUAAGACAUAUCAAGAAUGCCUUCUAAAGGGGCUUGACCCUUUAGACAGUGAAUACAUAGAUCAAGAAAUGGACAAAAGAUUUGAAGAAUUUACAAAAAUAAUAAAGAAAGAAUUGAAAGAAGAAAUAUUAAAAGAAUUAAGGCAUGAAAUGGACGAAAAAUUUGAAGAAAUAAAGAAAGAAUGCGAUCAAAAAUAUGAUUUCAAUCUGUUAAAUGAUGAUGAUGAUCAUAUGGACAUAGCAGGGCACGGGCAGCGACCUGAAUAAAGCCCAAAUUGCCUAUAUUGAUAUUGCUAUCAAUUAUUCGUGCGCGGAGGACCCGAAUAUUGAUAGAAAGUCCAAGAAAAGAUAUUUUAAAUACUGAUAAGGUAUUAUCAAUCAUAUGGGCAGGGAAGACCCCCUGUAAAAAAUGAAUAAGCAAUGCCGAAUAUUUAAGCAAGUUAAAUUAAAUUAAAAAUAAAUGAAUAAGCAAUGUUGAAAAUUUAAACAGCCUUGGCAUGUAUGUACGCAUACACUUGGACAAGGAUUCUUGAAGGCAGAAGAAGCUCUGAAGGCUAAUCGCAUGAAGACCUGUAUGGCCCAAGAGCAAAGACCGGUACACAGAGGCCAGCCAAUUAUCCAUGAGAGACAAUGCCGACGUGAACAAAGCAAAGAUUUGACAGAUUCCUGAAGAUUGAAGUUUGUCGGGGCUCUAUCUCUCGCUCUUAUCCAUCGCCUAGAGGGACACACAUGCAUCCCUACUACAUAUAAAAUAAGACGUGCAUUCUCCCGGAAGCCAUCCAUAGAGCUGCUCUCUUGCCUAUAAAAGGAGACAUUUGCUGCGAAGAGAGACACAACACUAGACGGAGAAGAGCCACCAGCCAGCGAUAGAGCAAAGAGCUGCGACCCAGCUAGCAAGCUCGUUGCUCAGUAGUAGUAGUAGUUUUCAUCCUGCAAUAAGUGCCACCAUAUCCAGAGCAUUGUAAGGCUCAAGAAGGUAGUUAGAAGCCUUGGCAUGUAUGUACGCAUACAAUGGCACAAGGAUUUUUGAAGGCAGAAGAAGCUCUGAAGGCUAAUCGCAUGAAGACCUGUAUGGCCGAAGAGCAAAGACUGGUACACAGAGGCCAGCCAAUUAUCCACGGAGAGACAAUGUGUAACACCCAUGA